AGCAAAUUGACUUCGGGUCUCUUGUAAGAAAAUCUAAAUGUAGGCUGUUGAAUAAUCCCUUUGAGGGCCCUGUAACUAUUUUUAUGCCUGGAUAUGCGUCAUCAGUGGGUAUUUUCUCUGGUGACUAGCUUACAUCAGGUCUCCUACCAUACAUUCUAUCAGUGAGUGACUUAUGAUUGAUGGGGGCCACGGCUGUUGUUUAGCUUUUAUCUGUGACCUCAGCGAAUGGACAACAGGAAUUUCCAGGCUGUUAAAUUCCCUGAAUGCUUGAAGACACGGGAUCGUGGUGCUGAUAAAUGCAGUUGCAAAUGGAACUUAAAAACAUAUUUUUGAAGAAAGGAGAAAGAUGAGUGCCAUGGUAGAAAGCUCCGUUUCUUCUUUUGCAACUCUCUCUUGAAUGAGCUGAAUGACUCAUGGUAAGCAGGUUAUAAUUUGAAAUUUACAAAAGGUUGAAACUAAAAGCUUGAUGAGUGGACAUUUAUAGCUGACUGAAUUCAUCACUCAUAAUAUAUCUUUUGCAAUAAGCCAUUUAAAUAUUGGUUAGGGGUACUGUUUAUGUUAUUUUAUUUUAAUGUCCCAGGAGCCAUUAGUGACUAACUUCAUUUCCACAAGACUGAUAUAAUGGUGGGAAAGCUAAAUUUUGGGUUAGUUCUGAUCUUGACAUUUUUUUCUCCCUGUCAUCUCUAAGGGGAAUUAUUAUCACUGUUUAUAAUAAUUUUCCCUUAAUUUUUUUUCUUUUUUUUUGUGAAGGAGAAAUAAUACCUCAGCAUAGCUAAUUUCCAGGAGGAAUAUAUUUUAUUCAACACACACAUACACACACACACACACACACACACACACAAACACACACACCAUAAGUUAGUAUAACUUGUGUGAGAGAAAAAUAGCUGCUUGUCUGUAGAGUGCAUUGUGGCUAUUCUAUGUUGCACAGGACAAUGUGAGACCAGGUAACAUAUUGUCAGUUUAAUAUUGUGAAGGUAUAAAGGAGGGAAUAAUUCCAAGGCUGCAUAGUGAUGGAAAAUAAUAAUUGUUCUCUUUUUAGCAAAAUUAAUAUGGAGUUUUUGGCAUAUUAAAUUUAAAAAAUAUACAUAUAAGUGGAAUACAUUAUCCUUUCACCUUAUAUGCGCAUCUUUUUGGUAAUAUUCAGAGAUGAAAACCCUUACAGGUGCAAUGUCAGGUAUUGUAAUGUGCAGAUCUGGUUAUGGUGGAACCUUGGUAUGAAGUGAAAUUUUAUUGUUCACAGCAUAUUCUCCUCCAUCAGAGGACU
This 1267-nucleotide long non-coding RNA is filed under the name Sarcophilus harrisii (Tasmanian devil). RNAcentral describes it as "lncRNA (ENSSHAG00000027642.1)". Lineage: Eukaryota; Metazoa; Chordata; Mammalia; Dasyuromorphia; Dasyuridae. The record is from RNAcentral.